RNAcentral lists this ribosomal RNA (771 nucleotides) under uncultured crenarchaeote. RNAcentral's name for it is "bacterial SSU rRNA". It matches the Rfam family "Archaeal small subunit ribosomal RNA", at positions 83 to 842 of the family's 1478-position model. The record is from RNAcentral. Lineage: Archaea; Thermoproteati; Thermoproteota.
CUCAGGUAACACGUAGUCAACCUGCCCUGGAGACAAGGACAACCCCGGGAAACUGGGAUUAAUCCGUGAUAGGUCAUCUCAUCUGGAAGGAGAGAUGGCUUAAAAGGGUACGCGGGCUUCUUCCGUGCAUCCGCUCCAGGAUGGGACUGCGUCCGAUCAGGCUGUUGGCGGGGUAAUGGCCCACCAAACCUGUAACCGGUACGGGCCUUGAGAGAGGUGGCCCGGAGAUGGACACUGAGAGAAGGGUCCAGGUCCUACGGGGCGCAGCAGGCGCGAAACCUUCGCAAUGCGCGAAAGCGUGACGAGGUUAAUCCGAGUGACUCCCGCUGAGGGGGUCUUUUGUCAGCUGUAAAUAGGCAGGCGAAUAAGGGGCGGGCAAGCCUGGUGUCAGCCGCCGCGGUAAUACCAGCUCCUCGAGUGGUCGGGGCGAUUAUUGGGCCUAAAGCAUCCGUAGCCGGUUCCGUAGGUCCUCUGUUAAAUCCAACCGCUUAACGGUUGACCUGCAGAGGAUACCGCGGGACUAGGAGGCGGGAGAGGCGGACGGUACUCCGCGUGUAGGGGUAAAAUCCUUUGAUCCGCGGAAGACCACCAGUGGCGAAGGCGGUCCGCCAGAACGCGCUCGACGGUGAGGGAUGAAAGCUGGGGGAGCGAACCGGAUUAGAUACCCGGGUAGUCCCAGCCGUAAACGAUGCUAGCUAGAUGAUUCAUUCGCAAGUCGCGAAUGAAGUGUCGCAGGGAAGCCGUUAAGCUAGCCGCCUGGGGAGUACGGUC